RNAcentral lists this ribosomal RNA (253 nucleotides) under uncultured bacterium. RNAcentral describes it as "partial 16S ribosomal RNA". It matches the Rfam family "Bacterial small subunit ribosomal RNA", at positions 524 to 776 of the family's 1533-position model. The record is from RNAcentral.
UACGUAGGGGGCAAGCGUUGUCCGGAUUUAUUGGGCGUAAAGAGCGUGUAGGCGGCCAUGCAGGUCAGCUGUGAAAACUCGAGGCUCAACCUCGAGACGUCGGUUGAAACCGUAUGGCUAGAGUCCGGAAGAGGAGAGUGGAAUUCCCGGUGUAGCGGUGAAAUGCGCAGAUAUCGGGAAGAACACCCGUGGCGAAGGCGGCUCUCUGGGACGGUACUGACGCUGAGACGCGAAAGCGUGGGGAGCGAACGGG